GACGAACGCUGGCGGCGUGCUUAACACAUGCCAGUCGAACGGAAAGGCCCUGCUUUUGUGGGGUGCUCGAGUGGCGAACGGGUGAGUAACACGUGAGUAACCUGCCCUUGACUUUGGGAUAACUUCAGGAAACUGGGGCUAAUACCGGAUAGGAGCUCCUGCUGCAUGGUGGGGGUUGGAAAGUUUCGGCGGUUGGGGAAGGACUCGCGGCUUAUCAGCUUGUUGGUGGGGUAGUGGCUUACCAAGGCUUUGACGGGUAGCCGGCCUGAGAGGGUGACCGGCCACAUUGGGACUGAGAUACGGCCCAGACUCCUACGGGAGGCAGCAGUGGGGAAUAUUGCACAAUGGGCGGAAGCCUGAUGCAGCAACGCCGCGUGCGGGAUGACGGCCUUCGGGUUGUAAACCGCUUUCGCCUGUGACGAAGCGUGAGUGACGGUAAUGGGUAAAGAAGCACCGGCUAACUACGUG
RNAcentral lists this ribosomal RNA (468 nucleotides) under uncultured bacterium. RNAcentral describes it as "partial 16S ribosomal RNA". It matches the Rfam family "Bacterial small subunit ribosomal RNA", at positions 28 to 507 of the family's 1533-position model. The record is from RNAcentral.